UACGAAGGGGGCUAGCGUUGCUCGGAAUUACUGGGCGUAAAGGGCGCGUAGGCGGUUAUUUAAGUCAGGGGUGAAAGCCCGGGGCUCAACCUCGGAACUGCCUUUGAUACUGGAUAUCUUGAGUUCGGGAGAGGUGAGUGGAAUGCCGAGUGUAGAGGUGAAAUUCGUAGAUAUCGGGAGGAACACCAGUGGCGAAGGCGGCUUCCUGGCCUGUUCUUGACGCUGAGGCGCGAAAGCUAGGGGAGCAAACGGG
RNAcentral lists this ribosomal RNA (253 nucleotides) under uncultured bacterium. Its description in RNAcentral is "partial 16S ribosomal RNA". It matches the Rfam family "Bacterial small subunit ribosomal RNA", at positions 524 to 776 of the family's 1533-position model. The record is from RNAcentral.